This 836-nucleotide ribosomal RNA is filed under the name Salmonella enterica subsp. enterica serovar Infantis. RNAcentral describes it as "partial 23S ribosomal RNA". It matches the Rfam family "Bacterial large subunit ribosomal RNA", at positions 711 to 1547 of the family's 2925-position model. The record is from RNAcentral. Lineage: Bacteria; Pseudomonadati; Pseudomonadota; Gammaproteobacteria; Enterobacterales; Enterobacteriaceae. RNAcentral also lists the same sequence under 10 other names.
AGACCCGAAACCCGGUGAUCUAGCCAUGGGCAGGUUGAAGGUUGGGUAACACUAACUGGAGGACCGAACCGACUAAUGUUGAAAAAUUAGCGGAUGACCUGUGGCUGGGGGUGAAAGGCCAAUCAAACCGGGAGAUAGCUGGUUCUCCCCGAAAGCUAUUUAGGUAGCGCCUCGUGAAUUCAUCUCCGGGGGUAGAGCACUGUUUCGGCUAGGGGGCCAUCCCGGCUUACCAACCCGAUGCAAACUGCGAAUACCGGAGAAUGUUAUCACGGGAGACACACGGCGGGUGCUAACGUCCGUCGUGAAGAGGGAAACAACCCAGACCGCCAGCUAAGGUCCCAAAGUCAUGGUUAAGUGGGAAACGAUGUGGGAAGGCCCAGACAGCCAGGAUGUUGGCUUAGAAGCAGCCAUCAUUUAAAGAAAGCGUAAUAGCUCACUGGUCGAGUCGGCCUGCGCGGAAGAUGUAACGGGGCUAAACCAUGCACCGAAGCUGCGGCAGCGACACUCAGGUGUUGUUGGGUAGGGGAGCGUUCUGUAAGCCUGCGAAGGUGGCCUGUGAGGGUUGCUGGAGGUAUCAGAAGUGCGAAUGCUGACAUAAGUAACGAUAAAGCGGGUGAAAAGCCCGCUCGCCGGAAGACCAAGGGUUCCUGUCCAACGUUAAUCGGGGCAGGGUGAGUCGACCCCUAAGGCGAGGCCGAAAGGCGUAGUCGAUGGGAAACGGGUUAAUAUUCCCGUACUUGGUGUUACUGCGAAGGGGGGACGGAGAAGGCUAUGUUGGCCGGGCGACGGUUGUCCCGGUUUAAGCGUGUAGGUGUGUGUUCCAGGUAAAUCCGGUU